UAAACUUNUUUGUAAGGGAAUAAAAGUGUAGUACGUGUACUAUUUUGCAUGUACCUUACGAAUAAGGAUCGGCUAACUCCGUGCCAGCAGCCGCGGUAAUACGGAGGAUCCGAGCGUUAUCCGGAUUUAUUGGGUUUAAAGGGUGCGCAGGCGGGAGAUUAAGUCGGCGGUGAAAUUUUGCAGCUCAACUGUAAAAGUGCNUUCGAAACUGGUUUCCUUGAGUGUGGAUGAAGUAGGCGGAAUUUGUGGUGUAGCGGUGAAAUGCAUAGAUAUCACGAGGAACUCCGAUUGCGCAGGCAGCUUACUAAACCAUAACUGACGCUCAGGCACGAAGGCGUGGGGAUCAAACAGGAUUAGAUACCCUGGUAGUCCACGCAGUAAACGAUGAUUACUAGCUGUUUGCGAUACAAUGUAAGCGGCUGAGCGAAAGCGUUAAGUAAUCCACCUGGGGAGUACGUUCGCAAGAAUGAAACUCAAAGGAAUUGACGGGGGCCCGCACAAGCGGAGGAACAUGUGGUUUAAUUCGAUGAUACGCGAGGAACCUUACCCGGGCUUGAAAUGCAUCUGACCGGCCUUGAAAGAGGCUUUCCCUUCGGGGCAGAUGUGUAGGUGCUGCAUGGUUGUCGUCAGCUCGUGCCGUGAGGUGUCGGCUUAAGUGCCAUAACGAGCGCAACCCUCAUCAUUAGUUACCAUCAGGUCAAGCUGGGGACUCUAAUGAGACUGCCAUCGUAAGAUGCGAGGAAGGUGGGGAUGACGUCAAAUCAGCACGGCCCUUACGUCCGGGGCGACACACGUGUUACAAUGGGUGGUACAAAGGGCAGCUACCUGGCGACAGGAUGCCAAUCUCCAAAACCACUCUCAGUUCGGAUCGGAGUCUGCAACUCGACUCCGUGAAGCUGGAUUCGCUAGUAAUCGCGCAUCAGCCACGGCGCGGUGAAUACGUUCCCGGGCCUUGUACACACCGCCCGUCAAGCCAUGGAAGCCGGGGGUACCUGAAGUUCNUAACCGUCAAGGAGCGAC
Molecule: ribosomal RNA, 1020 nt
Filed under: uncultured Proteiniphilum sp.
Lineage: Bacteria; Pseudomonadati; Bacteroidota; Bacteroidia; Bacteroidales; Dysgonomonadaceae
Description: bacterial SSU rRNA
Rfam family: Bacterial small subunit ribosomal RNA
Source: RNAcentral